AUGCAAGACUACUUUGCGGACAAUCCAACAUAUCCGCCGCACCUCUUCCGGAGAAGGUACCGAAUGCGCGAAUCCCUCUUUGUGAAAAUAAUUCAAGCUUGCGAGGCCAAUUGUCAUUAUUUUACUCAAAAAAUAAAUGUCGCGGGCUUGUAGGGAUUUAGUGCAUAUCAAAAAAUCUCGGCAGCUACGUAGGUAAUUGCAUACGGCAUUCUGGCUGACUAUGCUAAUGAGUACCUUCGCAUUGGUGAAGAUAUUACAAUUGAGUCAGUGCGUAGGUUUGCCAAAGUGAUGGCAUCUAGUGAGAGAAGAAGUUGGCUUGGCACGCUAGGAAGCAUUGAUUUUAUGCAACUUGGAAAAACUGCCUGA
This 366-nucleotide ribosomal RNA is filed under the name Triticum aestivum (bread wheat). Its description in RNAcentral is "partial small subunit ribosomal RNA". The record is from RNAcentral. Lineage: Eukaryota; Viridiplantae; Streptophyta; Magnoliopsida; Poales; Poaceae.